AGGAUCAUUACCGAUGCCAUACAA
Molecule: ribosomal RNA, 24 nt
Filed under: Umimayanthus sp. 47J
Lineage: Eukaryota; Metazoa; Cnidaria; Anthozoa; Zoantharia; Parazoanthidae
Description: partial 18S ribosomal RNA
Source: RNAcentral